AGUCGAACGGCAGCACGGACUUCGGUCUGGUGGCGAGUGGCGAACAGGUGAGUAAUGUAUCGGAACGUGCCUAUUGGCGGGGGAUAACUACGCGAAAGCGUAGCUAAUACCGCAUACGCCCUUCGGGGAAAGCGGGGGACCUUCGGGCCUCGCACUAAUGGAAGCGGCCGAUAUCGGAUUAGCUAGUUGAUGGGGUAACGGCUCUGAGCGACGAUCCAUGUAGUUUGAGAGGACGACCAGCCACACUGGGACUGAGACACGGCCCGAACUCCUACAGGAGGCAGCAGUGGGGAAUUUUGGACAAUGGGGGAAACCCUGAUCAGCCAUCCCGCGUGUGAGAUGAAGGCCUUCGGGUUGUAAAGCACUUUUGGCAGGAAAAAAACGGCACGGGAUAAUACCCCGUGCGGCUGACGACGCGCUGCAGAUAAAGCACCGGCUAACUACGUCAGCAGCCGCGGUAAUACAUGCAGGUGCAAGCGUUAAUCGAAUUACUGGGCGUAAAGCGUGCGCAGGCGGUUGGAAGAAGAUGUAAAUCCCAGAAUAACUUUGGAACACAUUUUAACUACCGAGCUAGAGUGUGUCAGAGGGAGGGUGGAAUUCGCGUGUGCUCAGUGAAAUGCGUGGUGAUAUGCGGAGGAACACCGAUGGCGAAGGCAGCCUCCUGGGAUAACACUGACGCUCAUGCACGAAAGCGUGGGGAGCAAACGGGAUUAGACACCCUGGUAGUCCACGCCCUAAACGAUGUCAACUAGCUGUUGGGGCCUUCGGGCCUUGUUGGCCAGCUUCUUUGCUGGCCUGAUUGACCGCCUGGGGAAGUACGGUCGUAAGAUUAAAACUCAAAGGAAUUGACGGGGACCCGCACAAGCGAGUGGGAUGUGGAUUAAUUCGAUGCAACGCGAAAAACCUUACCUAUGACAUGUCUGGAAUCAAAGAGAUUUAAAGGUGCUCGCAGAGAACCGAUUCCAGGUGCUGCAUGUGCCCUGUCGUCAGCUCGUGUCGUGAGAUGUUGGGUUAAGUCCCGCAACGAGCGCAACCCCUUGUCAUUAGUUGCUACGAAAGGGCACUCUAAUGAGACUGCCGGUGACAAACCGGAGGAAGGUGGGGAUGACGUCAAGUCCUCAUGGCCCUUAUGGGUAGAGACUACGUCAUACAAUGGUCGGGACAGAGGUCGCCAGCCCUCGAGGGGAGCCAAUCCCAGAAACCCGAUCGUAGUCGGAUCAGUCUGCAGCUCGACUGCACAAAGUCGGAAUCGCUAGUAAUCGCAGUUAAUGUCGCGGUGAAUACGUUCCCGGGUCUUGUACACACCGCCCGUCACACCAUAGAAGGUGUGGUUUACCAGUAGUUAGCCUAACCGUAAGGAGGGCGAUUCUACGGUAGGAUUCAUGACUGAGGUGAAGUCGUAACAAGGUAG
RNAcentral lists this ribosomal RNA (1411 nucleotides) under uncultured Bordetella sp. Its description in RNAcentral is "partial 16S-23S ribosomal RNA intergenic spacer". It matches the Rfam family "Bacterial small subunit ribosomal RNA". Lineage: Bacteria; Pseudomonadati; Pseudomonadota; Betaproteobacteria; Burkholderiales; Alcaligenaceae. The record is from RNAcentral.